CAGCAGCCACGGUAAUACGGAGGGUGCAAGCGUUAAUCGGAAUUACUGGGCGUAAAGCGCACGCAGGCGGUCUGUCAAGUCGGAUGUGAAAUCCCCGGGCUCAACCUGGGAACUGCAUCCGAAACUGGCAGGCUAGAGUCUUGUAGAGGGGGGUAGAAUUCCAGGUGUAGCGGUGAAAUGCGUAGAGAUCUGGAGGAAUACCGGUGGCGAAGGCGGCCCCCUGGACAAAGACUGACGCUCAGGUGCGAAAGCGUGGGGAGCAAACAGGAUUAGAUACCCCAGUAGUCCCUGUCUCUUAUAC
RNAcentral lists this ribosomal RNA (301 nucleotides) under uncultured bacterium. RNAcentral describes it as "partial 16S ribosomal RNA". It matches the Rfam family "Bacterial small subunit ribosomal RNA", at positions 509 to 807 of the family's 1533-position model. The record is from RNAcentral.